UGGGGAAUAUUGCACAAUGGGGGAAACCCUGAUGCAGCGACGCCGCGUGAGCGAAGAAGUAUUUCGGUAUGUAAAGCUCUAUCAGCAGGGAAGAAGAAAUGACGGUACCUGACUAAGAAGCACCGGCUAAAUACGUGCCAGCAGCCGCGGUAAUACGUAUGGUGCAAGCGUUAUCCGGAUUUACUGGGUGUAAAGGGGGCGCAGGCGGCGCGGCAAGUCUGACGUGAAAGCCCGGGGCUCAACCCCGGUACUGCAUUGGAAACUGUCGUGCUAGAGUGUCGGAGGGGUAAGCGGAAUUCCUAGUGUAGCGGUGAAAUGCGUAGAUAUUAGGAGGAACACCAGUGGCGAAGGCGGCUUUCUGGACUGUAACUGACACUGAGGCACGAAAGCGUGGGGAGCAAACAGG
This 406-nucleotide ribosomal RNA is filed under the name Lachnospiraceae bacterium. RNAcentral describes it as "bacterial SSU rRNA". It matches the Rfam family "Bacterial small subunit ribosomal RNA", at positions 355 to 776 of the family's 1533-position model. The record is from RNAcentral. Lineage: Bacteria; Bacillati; Bacillota; Clostridia; Lachnospirales; Lachnospiraceae.